Molecule: ribosomal RNA, 253 nt
Filed under: uncultured bacterium
Lineage: Bacteria
Description: partial 16S ribosomal RNA
Rfam family: Bacterial small subunit ribosomal RNA
Source: RNAcentral
UACGGAGGGUGCAAGCGUUAAUCGGAAUUACUGGGCGUAAAGCGCGCGUAGGUGGUUGAAUAAGUCAGUUGUGAAAGCCCAGGGCUUAACCUUGGAACUGCAAUUGAUACUGUUUAACUAGAGUGUGGUAGAGGUAAGUGGAAUUUCAGGUGUAGCGGUGAAAUGCGUAGAUAUCUGAAGGAACACCAGUGGCGAAGGCGACUUACUGGACCAACACUGACACUGAGGUGCGAAAGCGUGGGUAGCGAACAGG